AGCAAUCAAUGGCUCGGUGGC
This 21-nucleotide microRNA is filed under the name Parasteatoda tepidariorum (common house spider). RNAcentral's name for it is "pte-miR-35m-5p". Its record names the gene pte-miR-35m-5p. The record is from miRBase by way of RNAcentral. Lineage: Eukaryota; Metazoa; Arthropoda; Arachnida; Araneae; Theridiidae.